RNAcentral lists this ribosomal RNA (207 nucleotides) under uncultured bacterium. RNAcentral describes it as "partial 16S ribosomal RNA". It matches the Rfam family "Bacterial small subunit ribosomal RNA", at positions 568 to 774 of the family's 1533-position model. The record is from RNAcentral.
CACGUAGGCGGAUAUUUAAGUCAGGGGUGAAAUCCCAGAGCUCAACUCUGGAACUGCCUUUGAUACUGGGUAUCUUGAGUAUGGAAGAGGUAAGUGGAAUUCCGAGUGUAGAGGUGAAAUUCGUAGAUAUUCGGAGGAACACCAGUGGCGAAGGCGGCUUACUGGUCCAUUACUGACGCUGAGGUGCGAAAGCGGGGGGAGCAAACA